UGGGGAAUUUUGCACAAUGUUCGCAAGAAUGAUGCAGCGACGCCGCGUGAAUGAAGAAGGCCUUCGGGUCGUAAAGUUCUUUAGACAGGGAAGAAUGUGUAUACGAGUAACUGCGUAUACAGUGACGGUACCUGUAGAAUCAGCCCCGGCUAACUCCGUGCCAGCAGCCGCGGUAAUACGGAGGGGGCAAGCGUUGUUCGGAGUGACUGGGCGUAAAGAGCACGUAGGUGGCGAUAUAAGUCAUUAGUCAAAGGCAUCGGCUCAACCGAUGUAAGGCUAGUGAUACUAUAUUGCUAGAGUGCCGGAGAGGAUUGCAGAAUUCCUAGUGUAGCGGUGAAAUGCGUAGAUAUUAGGAGGAAUACCUGUUGCGAAGGCGGCAAUCUGGUCGGUAACUGACACUGAGGUGCGAAAGCGUGGGGAGCAAACA
This 427-nucleotide ribosomal RNA is filed under the name uncultured Mucispirillum sp. RNAcentral describes it as "partial 16S ribosomal RNA". It matches the Rfam family "Bacterial small subunit ribosomal RNA", at positions 355 to 774 of the family's 1533-position model. The record is from RNAcentral. Lineage: Bacteria; Pseudomonadati; Deferribacterota; Deferribacteres; Deferribacterales; Mucispirillaceae.